GACGAACGCUGGCGGCGUGCUUAACACAUGCAAGUCGAACGGAAAGGCCCUGCUUUUGUGGGGUGCUCGAGUGGCGAACGGGUGAGUAACACGUGAGUAACCUGCCCUUGACUUUGGGAUAACUUCAGGAAACUGGGGCUAAUACCGGAUAGGAGCUCCUGCUGCAUGGUGGGGGUUGGAAAGUUUCGGCGGUUGGGGAUGGACUCGCGGCUUAUCAGCUUGUUGGUGGGGUAGUGGCUUACCAAGGCUUUGACGGGUAGCCGGCCUGAGAGGGUGACCGGCCAGAUUGGGACUGAGAUACGGCCCAGACUCCUACGGGAGGCAGCAGUGGGGAAUAUUGCACAAUGGGCGGAAGCCUGAUGCAGCAACGCCGCGUGCGGGAUGACGGCCUUCGGGUUGUAAACCGCUUUCGCCUGUGACGAAGCGAAAGUGACGGUAAUGGGUAAAGAAGCACCGGCUAACUACGUG
Molecule: ribosomal RNA, 468 nt
Filed under: uncultured bacterium
Lineage: Bacteria
Description: partial 16S ribosomal RNA
Rfam family: Bacterial small subunit ribosomal RNA
Source: RNAcentral